AGCAUGGAAUGAUGGAAUAGGACCUCGGUUCUAUUUUGUUGGUCUUCGGAACUAGAGGUAAUGAUUAAUAGGAACAGGCGGGGGCAUUCGUAUUGCGGCGUUAGAGGUGAAAUUCUUGGAUCGUCGCAAGACGGACUAUUGCGAAAGCAUUUGCCAAGUAUGUUUUCAUUGAUCAAGAGCGAAAGUCAGAGGAU
RNAcentral lists this ribosomal RNA (194 nucleotides) under Metazoa sp. MM01406. Its description in RNAcentral is "partial small subunit ribosomal RNA". It matches the Rfam family "Eukaryotic small subunit ribosomal RNA", at positions 806 to 998 of the family's 1831-position model. Lineage: Eukaryota; Metazoa. The record is from RNAcentral.